RNAcentral lists this ribosomal RNA (250 nucleotides) under uncultured bacterium. RNAcentral's name for it is "partial 16S ribosomal RNA". It matches the Rfam family "Bacterial small subunit ribosomal RNA", at positions 524 to 773 of the family's 1533-position model. RNAcentral also lists the same sequence under 1 other name. The record is from RNAcentral.
UACGUAGGUGGCAAGCGUUAUCCGGAAUUAUUGGGCGUAAAGCGCGCGCAGGUGGUUUCUUAAGUCUGAUGUGAAAGCCCACGGCUCAACCGUGGAGGGUCAUUGGAAACUGGGAGACUUGAGUGCAGAAGAGGAAAGUGGAAUUCCAUGUGUAGCGGUGAAAUGCGUAGAGAUAUGGAGGAACACCAGUGGCGAAGGCGACUUUCUGGUCUGUAACUGACACUGAGGCGCGAAAGCGUGGGGAGCAAAC